AGAGGACGUGUGCCGAAAAAAGUGGAAGGGUUUGCGGGACACGUACCUGAAGGAGAGAAGGAAGGAGCUGGAGAAGAGGAGGAGUGGAGCAGCAGCAGGUGCGGGAAAAAAGUUCAGGUUCUCUGCCGUCCUCUCAUUCCUCGACCCCUUUGUGGCUCCACGGCCCACCACCAGCAACAUGGGCCAAGUCGAGGAGAUGGCAGAGGACCUACCUGCUCCACCCCCAGAAGAGGAGACAUCGGAGACAUAAGACACAAAUGGUGAUGACACAGAGGAGAGGUCCACUCCAUCCGAAGCACCUGCUGCCUCAUCUGUCUCCGACUCUGCUCCUUCAUCCUCUGCUGCUGCCCAACCUCCCGUAGGAAGGAGGAGGAGGAGGACAGUGCGACCCCGGGAGGAGCCAUCUGAGGUGGAACGGGAGCUUCUGGAAGCUCUCCGAAACCGGCCACCACCUCCACCCCCGCGGGUCCACUCCUCCAUGGAACACUUCCUCCUGGGUUUAGCUCCAUCCCUGGAAAGACUGCCACUAGAUAAACA
Molecule: long non-coding RNA, 537 nt
Organism: Girardinichthys multiradiatus
Lineage: Eukaryota; Metazoa; Chordata; Actinopteri; Cyprinodontiformes; Goodeidae
Exons: 3
Source: RefSeq, a predicted model, not a curated record